CUCCCUGUCAGGGAAUCGAACCCUGGUCUCCCGCGCUUGUGCAUGCACUUGCUUGCCUUUGACAAGCGGAAAUCAUAGCCACUAGACCAACAAGGA
Molecule: transfer RNA, 96 nt
Filed under: Elsinoe australis
Lineage: Eukaryota; Fungi; Ascomycota; Dothideomycetes; Myriangiales; Elsinoaceae
Description: tRNA-Asp
Source: RNAcentral